This is a non-coding RNA of Ictidomys tridecemlineatus (thirteen-lined ground squirrel), 9758 nucleotides long. Lineage: Eukaryota; Metazoa; Chordata; Mammalia; Rodentia; Sciuridae. The record is from RefSeq and is a predicted model, not a curated record.
GUUACUCCGGCUCCUCCAGAGAGGGCGGAGGAGGAGGCAGGAGUGCGGCGGUGAUUUUGUGCCCGGGCUUCCCAGAGGCGCACUGAAAAGGCUGGCGGAGCUCAGGCAGCCGGGGGCUUAGGGACACACAUUCAAGCCCCCAGCCCCCGGCAGGGGAAGGGGGCUGGAGGCGAGGCGUGAGAGCUUUGGAGGGAUGGUGUCUGCUCGGGGGGAAGGGGCGAACCCUGCCUGUCGGUGGUGAGGGGCUGCGGUCAGGGGAGGCUCUGCGGGUCGAAGCGGCUCCAUGCCCACUGGUGGGUGGAACGUGUAGCGCGGAACGCGGCGGUCGAGCCUGGCGGCCUCUCGGACCCCUGACGCGGAAUUUCAUUUAGCCCACGUUGGGAUUAAUUCUUCGGGGGCAGUUUCGCCGGUCCGCUUCCUCCAGGAGCUGGGCAACCUUGACGGGCUUUUUGUCUUGCUCCAGCCCCCUUUCCCUUCCUCCUCCUCCAGAUGCCUUUUCUCUGCCCCUCCUCGCCCGGUACAGACAUUUCCAGCGCAGGCUACCGCUCGUGGGGGUUCUUGAAGGCGCUUCACGGGAUUUCGGCUCGUUUCCCUCGGGGGUUUUUGAGGAGGGAGAGUUCCCCCCCCCUCCUCGAUGGGAUUUUCCUCGCUUGUCGAAAUGGACUUUCAUUGAUUUCUUCUUACUUAUUUAACGUUUAGUGGCCAAUUCCCUAGGCGUAUUUUUGUGGUAGUUCCUUUUUCCCUUUUCGAAUACAUAAUCUGUAAAAUGGAGAACGAAAUUUUUACUCCCCUUCUGGAGCAGUUCAUGACCAGCCCCUUGGUCACUUGGGUUAAAACGUUUGGAUCCCUGGCUGCAGGAAAUGGGACCAACCUGGAUGAAUAUGUGGCUUUGGUGGAUGGGGUAUUCUUGAACCAGGUCAUGCUCCAAAUUAAUCCAAAAUCGGAGAGUCAGAGAGUAAAUAAAAAAGUCAACAAUGAUGCUUCACUUAGAAUUCAUAAUCUAACCAUUUUGGUGAGACAGAUAAAAUUUUAUUACCAGGAGACUUUGCAGCAAUUGAUUGUGAUGUCAUUGCCAAAUGUCUUAAUCAUUGGUAAAAAUCCCUUUUCUGAGCAAGGCACAGAAGAAGUUAAAAAGCUGCUUUUACUCUUACUGGGGUGUGCAGUUCAGUGUCAGAAAAAAGAAGAAUUUAUUGAAAGAAUUCAAGGUUUAGAUUUUGAUACAAAAGCAGCAGUUGCCGCACAUAUUCAAGAGGUAACACAUAAUCAGGAAAAUGUGUUUGAUCUGCAAUGGAUGGAAGCAACAGAUAUGUCUCAGGAAGAUAUAGAACCACUCUUGAAAAAUAUGGCAUUGCAUCUAAAAAGACUUAUAGAUGAAAGAGAUGAACAUUCAGAGACUAUCAUAGAGCUCUCUGAAGAGAGAGAUGGUCUUCAUUUUCUACCCCAUGCCUCUUCAUCUGCACAAUCACCCUGUGGUUCUCCAGGCAUGAAGCGAACAGAAAGUCGACAGCAUCUGUCAGUGGAACUGGCAGAUGCUAAGGCCAAAAUAAGAAGGCUUAGGCAGGAACUGGAAGAAAAGACUGAACAGUUGUUGGAUUGUAAGCAGGAGCUUGAACAAAUGGAAAUAGAACUUAAAAGGCUGCAACAAGAGAACAUGAAUUUACUUUCGGAUGCUCGUUCUGCUCGAAUGUACCGAGAUGAAUUAGAUGCACUUCGAGAGAAAGCAAUUAGAGUUGAUAAGCUUGAAAGUGAAGUCAGCAGAUAUAAAGAGAGGCUACAUGAUAUUGAAUUUUAUAAAGCAAGAGUUGAGGAAUUAAAAGAAGACAAUCAAGUUUUAUUAGAAACAAAAACCAUGUUGGAAGACCAACUAGAAGGAACUCGAGCUCGUUCUGAUAAAUUACAUGAAUUAGAAAAAGAGAAUUUACAAUUAAAGGCUAAACUGCAUGAUAUGGAAAUGGAACGAGAUAUGGAUAGAAAAAAGAUUGAAGAAUUAAUGGAAGAAAACAUGACUUUGGAAAUGGCACAGAAGCAAAGCAUGGAUGAAUCAUUACAUCUUGGCUGGGAGCUGGAACAGAUAUCCAGAACUAGUGAACUUUCUGAAGCACCACAGAAAUCCUUGGGCCAUGAGGUGAAUGAGCUAACAUCAAGUAAGUUAUUAAAGUUAGAAAUGGAAAACCAGAGUUUGACAAAAACUGUGGAAGAGCUCCGGAGUACUAUGGAUUCUGUAGAAGGCAACACCUCCAAAAUUCUGAAAAUGGAAAAAGAAAAUCAAAGGUUAAGUAAAAAGGUUGAAAUUCUUGAAAAUGAGAUUAUUCAAGAAAAGCAGAGUCUUCAGAAUUGUCAGAAUUUAAGCAAGGAUCUAAUGAAGGAGAAAGCUCAGCUUGAAAAAACGAUUGAAACACUUAGAGAAAAUUCAGAGAGACAGGUAAAAAUAUUGGAACAGGAAAAUGAACAUCUGAAUCAAACAGUGUCUUCCUUAAGGCAGCGCUCUCAGAUAAGUGCUGAAGCAAGGGUGAAAGACAUAGAAAAAGAAAAUAAGAUUCUCCAUGAAUCUAUCAAAGAAACAAGUAGCAAGCUAAGCAAGAUUGAAUUUGAAAAAAGGCAAAUUAGAAAAGAAUUGGAACAUUAUAAAGAAAAGGGAGAACGAGCUGAAGAACUUGAAAAUGAGUUGCAUCAUCUUGAAAAAGAAAAUGAAUUGUUACAGAAAAAGAUAACUAAUUUAAAAAUUACUUGUGAAAAAAUUGAGGCCUUAGAACAUGAAAAUUCAGAACUAGAAAGAGAAAAUAGAAAAUUAAAAAAAACAUUGGAUAGCUUUAAAAAUCUUACUUUUCAGUUAGAAUCCCUAGAAAAAGAGAAUUCCCAACUUGAUGAGGAAAACUUAGAACUGCGAAGGAAUGUAGAAUCUUUGAAGUGUGCCAGCAUGAAAAUGGCUCAGCUACAAUUAGAAAACAAAGAACUGGAAAGUGAAAAAGAGCAACUUAAGAAGAGUUUGGAGCUUAUGAAAGCAUCUUUCAAGAAAACAGAACGUUUGGAAGUUAGUUACCAGGGAUUAGAUACAGAAAAUCAGCGGCUACAGAAAGCUCUAGAAAAUAGCAAUAAAAAAAUUCAACAAUUAGAAAGUGAACUACAAGACUUAGAGAUGGAAAAUCAAACAUUGCAAAAAAACCUAGAGGAAUUGAAAAUAUCUAGCAAAAGACUAGAACAACUGGAAAAAGAAAAUAAAUCAUUAGAGCAAGAGACAUCUCAACUGGAAAAAGAUAAAAAACAAUUGGAAAAGGAAAAUAAGAGACUCCGACAACAAGCAGAAAUAAAAGAUACCACUUUAGAAGAAAACAAUGUGAAGAUUGGAAAUUUGGAAAAAGAAAAUAAAACUUUAUUUAAAGAAAUUGGUGUAUAUAAAGAAUCUUGUGUUCGUCUAAAAGAAUUAGAGAAAGAAAACAAAGAACUUGUGAAAAGAGCAACUAUUGAUAUAAAAACUUUGGUUACAUUACGUGAGGAUUUGGUGAGUGAAAAAUUGAAGACUCAACAAAUGAAUAAUGAUCUUGAAAAAUUAACUCAUGAACUUGAGAAGAUAGGGUUAAAUAAAGAGAGACUGUUGCAUGAUGAACAAAGUACUGAUGACAGUAGGUACAAACUUUUGGAAUCAAAAUUAGAAUCUACUCUUAAGAAGUCACUUGAAAUAAAAGAAGAAAAGAUUGCUGCUUUAGAAGCUCGAUUAGAAGAAUCCACAAAUUAUAAUCAGCAAUUGCGCCAAGAACUUAAAACAGUAAAAAAAAAUUAUGAAGCUCUCAAACAGAGACAAGAUGAGGAAAGGAUGGUGCAGAGCUCUCCUCCAACAACUGGUGAAGAUAACAAAUGGGAGCGAGAAAGUCAAGAAACAACCAGAGAGCUUCUAAAAGUUAAAGACAGAUUAAUUGAAGUAGAAAGAAAUAAUGCUACACUGCAAGCAGAGAAGCAAGCGUUGAAAACUCAACUGAAGCAACUUGAAACACAGAACAAUAAUUUGCAGGCUCAGAUUCUUGCUCUUCAGCGGCAGACGGUGUCAUUACAGGAACAGAAUACCACUCUUCAAACACAGAAUGCCAAGCUUCAGGUUGAAAAUUCCACCCUUAAUUCCCAAAGUACCUCACUUAUGAACCAGAAUGCACAACUCCUAAUCCAGCAGUCUUCCUUAGAAAAUGAAAAUGAAUCCUUAAUCAAAGAUCGAGAAGACUUGAAAUCUCUCUAUGAUUCUUUGGUCAAAGAUCAUGAAAAGCUGGAACUUCUUCAUGAACGGCAGGCUUCAGAGUAUGAAUCUCUCAUCUCUAAACAUGGAACUCUUAAGUCUGCCCACAAAAAUCUUGAGGUGGAACAUAAAGACCUUGAAGACCGUUACAAUCAGUUACUAAAACAGAAAGGACAACUGGAAGAUUUGGAAAAAAUGCUCAAAGUAGAACAGGAAAAGAUCCUGCUUGAAAACAAAAAUCAUGAGACAGUAGCUGCAGAAUACAAGAAACUUUGUGGUGAAAAUGAUAGGUUGAAUCAUACAUAUAAUCAGCUUUUAAAAGAGACUGAAGUUUUACAAACUGACCAUAAAAAUUUGAAAAGUCUUCUAAAUACUUCUAAACUGGAACAAACAAGGUUAGAAGCUGAAUUUUCAAAACUGAAGGAGCAGUACCAACAGCUAGAUAUCACGUCCACCAAGCUGAAUAAUCAGUGUGAGUUGCUUAGCCAACUUAAAGGAAAUUUGGAAGAAGAAAAUCGACACUUACUAGAUCAAAUUCAAACUCUCAUGCUACAGAACAGAACACUUUUGGAGCAGAAUAUGGAAAGCAAGGAUCUUUUUCAUGUUGAACAAAGACAGUACAUUGAUAAGUUAAAUGAAUUAAGACGGCAAAAGGAGAAAUUAGAAGAAAAAAUUAUGGACCAAUACAAAUUUUAUGACCCAUCUCCUCCUAGAAGGAGAGGCAACUGGAUUACUCUAAAAAUGAGAAAAUUGAUAAAAUCCAAGAAAGAUAUUAAUCGAGAACGUCAGAAAUCUCUAACGUUAACACCUACCCGUUCAGACUCCAGUGAAGGACUUCUUCAGCUGCCCCAUCAAGAUAGUCAAGAUAGUUCUUCAGUAGGAUCAAACUCUUUAGAAGAUGGCCAAACCCUGGGGACCAAGAAAAGCAGCAUGGUUGCACUGAAAAGACUGCCCUUUUUGAGGAACAGACCGAAGGAUAAAGACAAAAUGAAGGCCUGCUACCGUCGUUCCAUGUCCAUGAAUGACCUGGUGCAGUCCAUGGUCCUAGCAGGAGGACAGUGGACAGGUAGUACUGAGAAUUUGGAGGCUCCUGAUGAUAUUUCAACGGGUAAAAGGAGAAAAGAAUUGGGAGCUAUGGCCUUCUCUACUACAGCCAUCAACUUUUCAACUGUCAACUCUUCUGCAGGCAUCAGAUCCAAGCAUUUGGUUAAUAAUAAAGAUGCUACAUCCUUUGAAGACAUAAGUCCACAUGGUAUUAGUGAUGAUUCUAGUACGGGAUCAAGAGUUCAUGCUUCAAGACCAGCCAGCCUUGAUAGUGGCAGAACAUCCACUAGCAAUAGCAAUAAUAAUGCUUCACUCCAUGAAGUCAAAGCAGGUGCAGUUAAUAACCAAAGCAGGCCACAAAGCCACAGCAGUGGAGAAUUUAGCCUGCUUCAUGAUCAUGAGACUUGGUCCAGCAGUGGUAGCAGUCCAAUCCAGUACUUGAAAAGACAGACCAGAUCAAGUCCAGUGCUCCAGCACAAAAUGCCUGAAACACUAGAAAGUCGAGCACAUCACAAAAUCAAAACUGGUUCCCCUGGAAGUGAAAUUGUUACUCUACAACAGUUUUUGGAAGAAAGCAACAAGCUUACCUCAAUACAGUUAAAGUCCUCAAGCCAAGAGAAUCUCUUAGAUGAAGUAAUGAAAAGUUUGUCUGUCUCUUCUGACUUUUUGGGAAAAGACAAACCAGUUAGCUCUGGUCUUGCCAGGUCAGUAAGUGGAAAAGCCCCAGGGGACUUCUAUGAGAGACGGACAACUAAGCCUGAAUUUGUGAGAUCUGGUCCUCGAAAGACUGAAGAUGCAUACUUCAUUAGUUCUUCAGGAAAAACUACACCAGGCACUCAAGGAAAGAUAAAAUUAGUAAAAGAAACCUCUCUGUCUCGACAAUCAAAAGAUAGCAAUCCUUAUGCCACUUUACCUCGUGCAAGUAGUGUGAUCUCUACUGCCGAAGGAACUACACGAAGGACAAGCAUCCAUGAUUUUUUGACCAAGGACAGUAGAGUACCUGUAUCAGUUGAUUCACCACCACCUGCUGCUGAUAGCAACAUCACUGCAGCAUCUAAAGCUGCAUUGUUGGUUUCUGAGGAUAAUCAAACUGUUUGAUGUGGACAAAGUACAAGAAAGCAGACAUUCAAAAAGCAGGUCUAGGGAGCAACAAAGCUCCUAAUUCUAUUGCCCACUACAUGACAUGUGGGCCAAGUGAGAGAAAAGUGUCCUUCAGUUUCUCAGUAUGAAGCCUUUAUUUCUGAAGUAACAAGACACCUAGCAACUAUAGGAACCAUUUUUUAAAAAUCUUUAAGGAGACUUAAACAAUCCUUCGUGAAUAGAGCAGGCAAGAAAUACAAACCUUCAUUCCUUCCUUGAAUCAAGGAGCACUACUGGAUUCAACUGCCAAAAGUUUUAGAAGGUUUUAGGACUUAACUAUACGUUGUAUUGUUAAGCUCUACUGAAUAAAGGACGUUCUCUCACUAAGGACCAAGUGUUUUAAGGUCAAGUGUUAAAAGAAGUACUCCAGGAACAAUCUACUUCUCUCAUCAUUUGUUUAUGAAUUUAUCUGUUUGCUUAAUGCUUCUGCUAAGUAUUAGUCCAAAUCUAGCCAUUUAUAUUUAGUUGUGUAAAUCUAAAUUAAAUGCUGUAGUAUUUUGUGCAAUGUACUAUAUAUGAAGAUACAGAGAAAAUUGUUUUGGCAUGUCAGAGCCAUUUUUUCGUUAGACUGCAUGUGUUGGUACUUUUUUUCUUUUUAAAGUCAGUUAUCUUUGAUGCACUGCAAAAAAAUCAGUUUAUAAGAUAAAUCUGAAAAUUCAUAACAAGAGAUAGGAGUUAUAAAAAUAUUAAUCUUCCUUAUUCCUAACUAAGCUACACUAAGCAUUCAUACAUGGAUCCAAGAUAAAAGUGUUUUUCUGAAACUUUUUUUAAUAAGAUGGUUUUCCAUUAAAUAGCAUUCCCAAGGUAAAGCUGUUUCACUGUUUCACUUCUUUACUGUUGGGCUAUGUAUGUUUCUUUUCUUUUUUUCUUUUUUUUUUUAACUUGAGAGCUGACUGUUGCUUAAGAAGUUUUCUUAUGGCAAAAAUAAUGUAAAUAAUUUAUUACGAUCUGCAUUUUGCCAGGAACUCAUUUAUUAUUAAGGUUAUCAUUUAUUAAUAAGAACUUUUCUGUUUUUUGUUCUUUAUAAUAUUACAUUAAAGUUGAAAACUGAAUAACAGGUACUUUUGAAAUAUUUGUAUGCAUUUGUUACCUUAAACAUUUGGAAGAAGCACAAAAAAGUAGAUUUAGUUAACCCAGAGAAACAUCAUUUUUUAGUAGUUCCAAUUUUUAUAUCACAGUUUUAUUUUCUUAUGAAGUCCAAAAAACUGCAUUGAUAUUCAUUAAUACAAAUUCAUUACUUAACAAUAAAUAUCAAAUAGUCUUCUGAAAUAAGAUAUUGACUAUUUUUUAUUUUAAUAGCACACUUCUUAGGCUCUCAUUACCAGCUCUAAAGGACUUUUUAGAAAUGAUUCCUUAUUCCUUAAUAUGUGGUUUAUGAACUGUGUGUGUAUCAUUACUAACCCAGUAGCCAUGAGAAUAGCCUCUCUCCCCUUCCGUCCAUCUGUCUCUCUUUUUGGUUAGCAGUGUCGUGUUUAUAGUUGUCUUUGGAAAGACCAUCAAUAAAAAAGAAAGAGAGACAGCAUGUUUAGCUGACCAGAAAUAGAAAUGAAAAUUAGAGAACUUGGAUUUAUUAACUCAGUGUCAUCAUUAACGUAGGUUUUGCCACCAAAUAAAGUUAAAUCUCUUUGAAACUCUUGGAUGAAAGGUGCUAUAUAAAUGUAAAUACAAAAGAUUCUUACUGAAAUACAAAUAUUGCACAACAUAAAUAUUCAAAAUCUAUUCUCUAGACUUUGAGAUCUCUCUAUCACGACUCCCUUGAUUCAAGUAUCAAAUUGGUAAAUGGGUAUCAUGACAGUCUAGAGACACUUUGCAUGUAAAAAAUGUAAAUUUAUUUUUGGUUGGGUAAGUUGAAAGUAAAUGUAGACAUUAUGUUUUAGCUAAAUACAGUAAGUGGGUAACUUAGAUUUAUAUUAACUAGCAUCUAAUUUGCACAGCUAGGACACAUCCCAGAACUGUUACUGAAAAGUUGAAAUUUAAUGAGUGUGAGGUGGCCCAAUGAAGAUGAAUAUCACACUUUCACCUCUUCAGGAUACUAAUAUUCUAAAAUAGAGAAUCUGCUGAAUUAACCAGCACAUUACUGUUUCUACAGAAAAUGCGGAAUGACAGCCUUUGAAGUACUAAAUUUAAAAAGGCUGAUCUAAAAGGACAAUUGAAAAGACUCAAAGAAGGGGACAUAGUGAGACUGUAAAAAUACAAAUACUCUCAAUUAUAUUCAUCACCUUUUUCAUACCAUUUCAAGAAAGGACUAGAUAAUAACCACAUGAAUAUUUUACUUUCUCCAAAAGCUACCGCCAGAAGCAAACAUGUAGGAAGCCACUCUUUUACCUUACAUAAAGUUCUGUCAAACAAAAUAGUAAAGCCAACUGGAAACUCACCAGGGCCUAUUCCUGAUGAGCCAGACAUACUUUUAAUUUUCUGGUUCUACUCUGAAUCAAUACCUAAAACCCCGAAGGAAACUGAAAAAUUCAAUAUACAGGGUAAUAACUUUGGCCUAGAGCUGUAAUCAUGUGCUUCAAAUCUAGCCAUGUGGAAAUGUUUUGGUCCAAGUUUUUGAAUUGGUGGUUACCAAAGAGUUUAUAAGACAGGUUCGUAUGUAGCACCUUUCAUGCCAGGCAUGGUAAGGGCCUAUUUUAAAAAACCACCGUGUGUGUAAUAGAAUUGCAGCCACCUCACAGAUCAAGUUCUACAACCUGUACUGUCUUAACAGAUUAUGUCAGGAAAUGAAAAUGAUACUGUACCAAAUCUGAAAUUAUAAUGGGAAUAAUAAUGUAUUCUAAAUUACUUUUGUAUUUUAAGUUACUUUUUAAAAGAAAAGUGAAUUUUUUGGUUUUCUUUUCAACUACUUAAUCCCAAAAUGUGUUUUUUUUUCUUAUAAGCCUUGAAUGAGUAAUAUAAAAGGAGCCCAUUUUAUAACUUACAAACUUGAUGUACAUGUUAUUUGGAUAAUGAAAUGCCUUAAAAGGAAUGCUUAACAUAAUGUUGCACUUACAACCCCCAUUAACAAAACCUGAUUUUAAAUGGCCUUUUUCUUUUCUAAGGGUUCUUUCUCCAGUGUUUGCCAUUGUACUUACAACUGUUAUUAAAUACCAAAUCAAUAUAUAACUGUAACAUUUCCUUUAAAACUAAUGCUGAUGAGAAUUUGGAGUUGAAUGGCAAAAUGUUUAUUACUUGGCAAUACUUAAUAUCAGCCAUAGAAAUCCAACUCGUGAAAAGAGGCACCAUUGUUUGAUUUGUCUUUUAAAAACAUUCAUUUUCAACUUAGCUUUUAACUUUGUUUCUCCUUUAAAAAGUUGGAUUAACAUUCACUUUUCAGACUGAUAUAUAAAAAAUAAAAUGUGAUUUUUUACAAGAA